GGGGAAUAUUGCGCAAUGGGGGAAACCCUGACGCAGCAACGCCGCGUGGGUGAUGAAGGUCUUCGGAUUGUAAAACCCUGUCUUCUGGGACGAUAAUGACGGUACCAGAGGAGGAAGCCACGGCUAACUACGUGCCAGCAGCCGCGGUAAUACGUAGGUGGCGAGCGUUGUCCGGAUUUACUGGGCGUAAAGGAUGCGUAGGCGGGCAUUUAAGUGAGAUGUGAAAUCCCCGGGCUUAACUUGGGGGCUGCAUGUCAAACUGGGUGCCUAGAGUGCAGGAGAGGUAAGUGGAAUUCCUAGUGUAGCGGUGAAAUGCGUAGAGAUUAGGAAGAACACCAGUGGCGAAGGCGACUUACUGGACUGUAACUGACGCUGAGGCAUGAAAGCGUGGGUAGCAAAC
RNAcentral lists this ribosomal RNA (400 nucleotides) under uncultured bacterium. RNAcentral describes it as "bacterial SSU rRNA". It matches the Rfam family "Bacterial small subunit ribosomal RNA", at positions 356 to 773 of the family's 1533-position model. The record is from RNAcentral.